GCCCUUUUAGCUCAGUGGUUGAGCGUUGGCUUCGUAAGCCACAGGCCAAUGGCUCGAUGUCAUUAGGGCGCA
Molecule: transfer RNA, 72 nt
Filed under: Phytophthora infestans (potato late blight agent)
Lineage: Eukaryota; Oomycota; Peronosporomycetes; Peronosporales; Peronosporaceae
Also listed under: 1 other name
Rfam family: tRNA
About the family: Transfer RNA (tRNA) molecules are approximately 80 nucleotides in length. Their secondary structure includes four short double-helical elements and three loops (D, anti-codon, and T loops). Further hydrogen bonds mediate the characteristic L-shaped molecular structure. tRNAs have two regions of fundamental functional importance: the anti-codon, which is responsible for specific mRNA codon recognition, and the 3' end, to which the tRNAs corresponding amino acid is attached (by aminoacyl-tRNA synthetases). tRNAs cope with the degeneracy of the genetic code in two manners: having more than one tRNA (with a specific anti-codon) for a particular amino acid; and 'wobble' base-pairing, i.e. permitting non-standard base-pairing at the 3rd anti-codon position.
Source: Rfam by way of RNAcentral